UACGUAGGGGGCAAGCGUUGUCCGGAUUUAUUGGGCGUAAAGAGCGUGUAGGCGGCCAGGUAGGUCCGUUGUGAAAACUCGAGGCUCAACCUCGAGACGCCGAUGGAAACCAUCUGGCUAGAGUCCGGAAGAGGAGAGUGGAAUUCCUGGUGUAGCGGUGAAAUGCGUAGAUAUCAGGAGGAACACCGGUGGCGAAGGCGGGUCUCUGGGCCGAUACUGACGCUGAGGAGCGAAAGCGUGGGGAGCGAACAGG
This 253-nucleotide ribosomal RNA is filed under the name uncultured bacterium. RNAcentral describes it as "partial 16S ribosomal RNA". It matches the Rfam family "Bacterial small subunit ribosomal RNA", at positions 524 to 776 of the family's 1533-position model. The record is from RNAcentral.